RNAcentral lists this ribosomal RNA (228 nucleotides) under uncultured bacterium. RNAcentral's name for it is "partial 16S ribosomal RNA". It matches the Rfam family "Bacterial small subunit ribosomal RNA", at positions 568 to 796 of the family's 1533-position model. The record is from RNAcentral.
UGCGUAGGCGGCCUGACAAGUCAGAAGUGAAAGGCUACGGCUUAACCGUAGUAAGCCUUUGAAACUGACAGGCUUGAGUGCAGGAGAGGAAAGUGGAAUUCCUAGUGUAGCGGUGAAAUGCGUAGAUAUUAGGAGGAACACCAGUGGCGAAGGCGACUUUCUGGACUGUAACUGACGCUGAGGCACGAAAGCGUGGGGAGCGAACAGGAUUAGAUACCCUGGUAGUCC